Molecule: long non-coding RNA, 5692 nt
Filed under: Ananas comosus (pineapple)
Lineage: Eukaryota; Viridiplantae; Streptophyta; Magnoliopsida; Poales; Bromeliaceae
Description: long non-coding RNA (ACOM_LNC040128)
Source: RNAcentral
GCAGCUUGUCCCAGAGCAGCAUCUCCAGCACCAUCAUCUGCUUCAGCUCCACCAGCACCUCAGCAGACUUACAGAGCAGCACCGAGUUACCGCCAGGAGGAUAGGUCGUCCAUGCCGCGACAGGGUGAGCGUCGACAGCAGGCUCCGAGUGGUAGAGUCUAUGCAGCUCAGGUGGAGGACUCUACAGCAGCCGACCGAGUGGUGGCAGGUAUCACUUUGAUUUCUGGCAUUAGAGUUCGCACUCUUUUUGAUACUGGUGCAUCACAUUCCUUUGUUAGCCGAGCAUUUGCAUUGUUGCAUGGUCUAGAGUUAGGGGCAUUGUCACAGGCACGAGAGGUGCAGAUCCCGGACCAUAUUUUACAGGUUGCGGAGUGUUGUUGGUCGUGUCCGGUGCAGUUGGACUCGUGGGUCAUGCCCGCAGACCUGUUGGUGUUAGGGCAGCUGCAGGACUUCGACGUCGUGCUCGGUAAGGAUUGGCUUGCACGGUACUAUGCUACGAUCGACUGUGGAGCGAGGACGGUGACGUUCCGCGAGCCAGGUCAGGAGGAGUUUACUUUCAGAGGCUGCAGGAGUACGCUAUUUGCCACCUGGAUAUCUUCGGCGAGGGCUCGACAGAUGCUGAGUAGCGGGUGUAUCGCUUUCCUAGCGACUGUUGUGGAGGUACCUACGGCGGCGCCGGGACUUGAGGACAUCCCAGUAGUCCGCGAGUUUCCGGACGUAUUUCUCCCUGAGUUGACAACGUUGCCGCCGGAAAGGGAGAUUGAGUUUGUGAUUGAUGUAGUUCCUGGAACUGCACCAAUCUCAAAGGUACCUUAUCGGAUGGCGCCGGCAGAGCUGAGAGAGCUAAAGGCACAGCUUCAGGAUUUGAUAGAUAAAGGGUUUGUGAGACCCAGUGUGUCGCCUUGGGGAGCGCCAGUGCUAUUUGUAAAGAAGAAAGAUGGUUCGCUCAGGUUAUGUGUAGAUUACCGGGAGCUGAAUAAAGUGACCAUCAAAAAUAAGUAUCCCUUGCCGCGCAUUGAUGAUUUGUUUGAUCAGCUGCAGGGAUCUUAUGUCUUCUCGAAGAUUGAUCUCCAGUCAGGUUACCACCAGCUGAGGGUGAGGGCCGAGGAUGUUCCCAAGACCGCUUUUCGGACUCGGUACGGGCAUUAUGAAUUUACAGUGAUGCCUUUUGGAUUGACAAAUGCCCCUGCCGCAUUCAUGGAUUUGAUGAACAGAGUGUUCAAGCCGUUCUUGGAUAGAUUUGUGGUAGUCUUCAUCGACGACAUCCUGAUAUACUCCCGGAGUGAUGCUGAGCAUGAGGAGCACUUGAGGAUUGUGCUACAGCUUCUGCGAGAGAAGAAGCUGUAUGCCAAGUUGAAGAAGUGCGAGUUCUGGCUACGGGAGGUUGCUUUCUUGGGCCACGUGAUUUCAGCCGAGGGCGUAGCAGUGGACCCGAAGAAGAUUGAGGCGAUUCGAGAUUGGCCUAGACCGACGACGGUGAUUGAGGUACGGAGCUUCCUGGGACUGGCAGGAUAUUACCGUCGGUUUGUGGAAGGCUUUGCGAAGCUUUCCACACUCCUCACACGCUUGACGCGGAAGGAGAUUCGUUUUGUUUGGAGCGAUGACUGUCAGAGGAGCUUUGACGAGUUGAGACUGAGGUUGACAUCAGCUCCUAUCCUUGCCCUUCCGGUGAUGGGGGAUAGAUUUGUGAUCUACAGUGAUGCAUCGCACAGUGGACUUGGUUGCGUGCUGAUGCAGCAUGGUAGGGUGAUUGCUUAUGCUUCACGGCAAUUAAAGGAUUUUGAGAAGAAUUACCCUACGCAUGACUUGGAGCUUGCCGCGGUGGUUUCUGCUUUGAAGCUCUGGCGGCAUUACUUGUACGGCGAGCACUGCGAGGUCUUCACCGAUCAUCAAAGUCUCAAGUAUCUGUUCACACAAAGGGAGCUGAAUCUGAGGCAGCGCCGGUGGUUAGAGUUACUGAAGGACUAUGACAUUAGUAUUCAGUAUCAUCCCGGCAGGGCGAAUGUUGUGGCAGAUGCGUUGAGCAGGAAGUCAAUGCAGAGCCUGAGUUUGAUGAUUACUGAGCAGAGACCCCUCCUCGAGGAGCUUCAGCGGCUGGGACUCGAGAUAGUACCCCCUGGGUCUACGGCGAGGCUGACGUCUCUAGUUUUACAGCCGACUCUGUUAGAUAGGAUCCGAGAGAAACAGAGUGGAGAUCCGUACUUGUUGAGGAUUAGAGAGCAGCUAGACAGGGGGCAGGCUGAGGGUUUUGCUUUGGACAGUUCGGGAGUACUACGGUACAGGGACCGACUGUGUGUGCCUAUGGAUUCUGAGAUCCGAUCAGACAUUCUGAGAGAGGCUCAUUGUUCUCCUUAUACGGUUCACCCAGAUGGAACCAAGAUGUAUAAGGACUUAAAGGCACGGUUUUGGUGGAAUGGUAUGAAGAGGGACAUUGGCAGAUUUGUGGCUCAGUGUCUGACUUGUCAACAGGUAUAGGCAGAGCAUCAGGUACCUGCUGGCAAGCUUCAGAGUCUGCCAGUGCCCGAGUGGAAGUGGGAGUACAUCACGGUGGAUUUCGUCGUUGGUUUGCCUAGAGCGCAGGGUGGCUUUGACGCGAUUUGGGUUAUAGUGGACAGACUGACCAAGUCUGCUCACUUCCUAGUAGUUCAGACUACCUGGUCCAGAGAGAGACUCGCUCAGUUAUACCUGGACGAGAUUGUUAGGUUGCACGGUGUGCCAAUGUCGAUUGUGUCAGACAGAGAUCCGAGGUUUGUAUCCCAGUUUUGGAGGAGCCUUCAGACCGCCUUGGGCACUCAGCUGCAUUUUAGCACGGCGUUCCACCCACAGACAGAUGGUCAGUCAGAGCGGACCAUACAGACUUUAGAGGACAUGCUGAGGGCAUGCGUCCUGGAUUUUGGAGGAGGGUGGUAUCGACAUGUGAGACUGGUUGAGUUUGCGUACAACAACAGCUAUCAAACGAGCAUUCAGAUGGCUCCGUUUGAGGCGUUGUAUGGACGCAGAUGUUGAUCCCCCCUGUUUUGGAGCGAUGUGGGUGAGCGGAGGACACUUGGACCGGAGAUCUUACUUGAGGCUGAGGAAAAGGUGAGAGUCGUUCGACGACACCUUUUGACAGCUCAGAGCCGCCAGAGGAGCUACGCCGAUACCAGGAGACGAGACUUAGAGUUUCAGGUUGGAGAUCAUGUUUUCCUCAAAGUCUCGCCGUCCAGAGGUAUUCGCCGAUUUGGAGUGCGUGGAAAGCUCAGUCCACGUUUCGUUGGCCCUUUCGAGGUAUUGGAGCGAGUUGGACCAGUUGCAUACCGGAUUGCUCUACCACCCCGACUAGCUGGGGUUCAUGAUGUGUUCCACGUCUCGGCUCUGAGGAGAUAUGUUUUCGAUCCUUCUCACGUGAUUCACUUCACUCCACUAGAGAUUGGCGAGGAUUUGAGAUACGAGGAGCGACCGGUGCGGAUUCUUGCUCGCGAGACGAAGGAAUUGCGCAACCGGGUCAUCCCGUAUGUGAAAGUGCAGUGGAGCAAUCAUGAGGAGCGGGAGGCGACUUGGGAGCCUGAGACAGUGAUGAGGGAGUCCUACCCCGACUUGUUCGUUGUCCCGUCUUAAGGUAUGUUUUAAGUUUCGAGGACGAAACUUUUUAUAGUGGGGGAGGAUGUAGUAUCCUUAUUUCUUUAUCUUUUCUUUUCCUUUUUCUUUUUAUUUCUUUUGAGUUGGUAAGCUAGCUGGGGAUAAGGAUGCCACGUGCACCUUACCCCCAAGCAUGCUUAUCACCUUAAUACUUGUGCAUAGUUUAUAUAUAGUUCAUGAGCCUCUACGCAUAUAGUUCUUGAGUCGUACGUAGAGGAGGAGCUCGGGUGGUGUGGAGUUUCGUCGACGUUGCGCAGCGGUGCCGUUCGAGCGUGUGUUCGUCGUCGUAGCAUCGCGAGGGGGGCCGGGUGAGGGUCCGAUUUCGCUGUUUUUGUUGUCGCGCCGGAUUGUGAUUAGCGUUUGAGGUGGGUUACAUCGGCUUUACUCCUAAGUUCUUAUUGGCCGACAUGUAUAGAUCUUGAUUUCGGUAAUUAAUUUAGCUCAAAUUCAUGGACUAUAUGUAGAUUGCGAAAUCUGAAUUUUGGAGCAUAUUUUAUAAAUUAAGUAGAUCAUACAUGUUGUACUUGAAAAUUGAAUUAGGAGAAAACCUGCGAUUUGGACCUGUCACCAGUUUUAACUACCUGAUUUAGCUCUAGGAGCCGUUAGAAAAUUGUAUUGUCGCAGUUUCUUCGAGACGAGUACUCCAGGUAGUUUAGAAUGUAUUUACACUCGUGCUGGUUCGCCGAGUGGAUUUUUACAGGGUCAUUCAGGUUGUUUCGGACUUUUGGGUGCCGUCAGAGUUGACGGUGGACCCGUAUCGCCUUUUUGGGCGUCAGAUUGUGCCGAGGGCACGUUACCUAUUGGUUGUUAGACCAGUUUGAGUCGAUUACUUGACGUUGGCUAGUUGGAGCCUGUUUGAGCUCGACAGAGAUACGCUGCAUACUCGGUUGGGUCAGUGCUAUAGAGAGGUUAUUCGAGGAUCUGUACGUUCCAGAGGGGGAGCAGGUACCUUUGGGAGUACACUGUUUGUCAGGUGAUGCACGUGACUGGUGGCGGAGAGUAAGGUGAGACCAGAGACUGGAGGCAGCGCAGCUGAGGUGGGACGAGUUCUGUGGAAUGCUGUAUGGGAUGUAUUUUCCCAACAGCAUGAAGCAGAAGGUUGAGGAGGAUUUGAAGAGGAUCCAACAGGGCGAGCGGACAGUUCAGGAGUAUGUUCGGGAGUUUACUAGACUCCUGAACUGUGUUCCGUUCGUGGCCAGAGACGAGGCACAUAGGGUCUACUUGUUCGAGCAGGGUUUGAGACCCGAUCUGUUCAGGUUCGUUAGGGCGCAGAGGUCGAUGACUUUGGACACGUCCAUUGAGCAGGCACUAUGGGAGGAGAGAGGAGAGGUGUCACUGCGAGAGAGGGCUCAGGGGCCGGGACAGACUCAGGACAGGAAGCGUCCAGCUCCAGACGACGGAGGCCAGUCGAGUAGCAGGCGUCCACCGAGACCUCCACGAUCGCGUUCUCAGGGUCGUGGGUUCUCGGGACGUCAGCGAUCCAGAGACUCCCGUUAGAGAGGACAGCCUGAGAGGGCGCCGCAGUGUGUGAUCUGUGGAGGACCACACUGGCCCAGACAGUGUGAGCAGAGGGAGGGCCGGUGCUACGGAUGUGGUCAGCUGGGACACAUGAGGGCAGCUUGUCCCAGAGCAGCAUCUCCAGCACCAUCAUCUGCUUCAGCUCCACCAGCACCUCAGCAGACUUACAGAGCAGCACCGAGUUACCGCCAGGAGGAUAGGUCGUCCAUGCCGCGACAGGGUGAGCGUCGACAGCAGGCUCCGAGUGGUAGAGUCUAUGCAGCUCAGGUGGAGGACUCUACAGCAGCCGACCGAGUGGUGGCAGGUAUCACUUUGAUUUCUGGCAUUAGAGUUCGCACUCUUUUUGAUACUGGUGCAUCACAUUCCUUUGUUAGCCGAGCAUUUGCAUUGUUGCAUGGUCUAGAGUUAGGGGCAUUGUCACAGGCACGAGAGGUGCAGAUCCCGGACCAUAUUUUACAGGUUGCGGAGUGUUGUUGGUCGUGUCCGGUGCAGUUGGACUCGUGGGUCAUGCCCGCAGACCUGUUGGUGUUAGGGCAGCUGCAGGACUUCGACGUCG